RNAcentral lists this microRNA (20 nucleotides) under Brachypodium distachyon (stiff brome). The record is from RNAcentral. Lineage: Eukaryota; Viridiplantae; Streptophyta; Magnoliopsida; Poales; Poaceae.
UAGCCAAGGAUGACUUGCCG